Molecule: long non-coding RNA, 5873 nt
Organism: Xenopus laevis (African clawed frog)
Lineage: Eukaryota; Metazoa; Chordata; Amphibia; Anura; Pipidae
Exons: 18
Source: RefSeq, a predicted model, not a curated record
UGGGAAUCUGGAAAGGAAACAGAUAAAGAUAAUGACGUAUCCUGUUUAAUUAGUAAACAAAUUCAACAACAAUCCAGUCAUUGAGAUAGAGUGCAAGCUGUUAUAUUCAUAAUUAUAACAAAUGCGACUGAAGCUCUACAUCACAUGACAUUGCUAUAGAAACAAAGGGCAACGUUAUAAACUGUUUAAUAACCAUUUACAAUACUGGGACCCCAUGGCCUGAAUAGGGGCAACAGGGGUCUUGACGAGGCCUAGGAGAGCGACUAUCCCUGCCCCUCCCCCUUUUUUCUAUUACAGGUCGCUGAUUGGCUGGCGGGUCCCAGGUGAAUGAGCAGAGGCACCGGGACGUGGAGGAAGAAGGACGCAGCAUCGGGACGUGGUCAUCGCAUCUUCACGGCUCGCGGCAUGGAGGCGGGUGUGGACUGGGAGGUGGCGAGAUGACGUGGAUCUUCGUGGCUCCAGGGGGAUAUCGGUCAAUCCCCACUCCUUGGUACACGGUCAGGUGGCGGGAAGGGGGGUAAAAGGGACACUAAUCUCGCCAGCUCUACGGUGCACUACGGGUAGGGGCCCCCUAUCCACAGUCAAAAGACUGCGGCCGGCGGCACGGUCGGCCAGGAAGGGCGCCCAGGGUCAGCCCACUCGGGGACGGGGCAGUGGUUUAACGGCCGGGACACACGUGCCUGGCCAGGUACCUGUGGCGGCCUGGGAGGAGUGGCCAGGUACUUCAAGCUCGGCUCAGGCCAGGAAUAAGCCCCAAGGCCACUAUCGGGCGCUCCCGCUUGGGAGGGGAGUGGGGAGCGCGGCAGUAGGUUCGAGAUGACUAGACAAUUGGAACCGAGGGCGGCACAGCAGGUCCAGGAGCAGGUGGUCGGGGCGCAAUCGGCGGCGGUCACCUAGGUCUAGGAGUGGGUCCCACACCCGGGGGAGGUCACGGAGGAGCUCCACGGCUCGGCGGGAGGCCAGGGUGGCCAGGGACAGGGUCACCGGGACCAGCCCCCCCUAGGGAGCAGGGAGGUGGAGGGAACGCUCUCGCUCUUUCAUGUCCUGCAGGUAUGGUUCCAGUGAUUCCAGUGGGGACCUGGAUAGGAUCGGAGGGUCGAGGCGCAGACGGACUACUAGGGGCUACUCUCCCGGUCGGGGACAUGGGUCCCACAGGUGGCAUUCCUCCGACAGCCACAGAAGGUCCGGCAGAUGCCGCUCAUCGGGGAGGAGCAGGAAGACCACAAGGAGCCGGUCGGUUGACAGGUCCAGGAGGCACAUCGGAAGUCGUCCAGCCGAUGGCAAUAGGCGAGUCUCUGCCCACAGGUCAUCCAACAGAGCACAUACGGUGGACAGGCAGAUGGCCUCGCAUGGGCCUGGAUCGGGCGAGGAGCAUCAACACAGCUGGCGAGUCUGGUUACGGUCCCUGAGGUUUUGACGGCCAAGGGGCCAGGAGAAGGAAGAGAAGAGGAAGGAAAUGAAGAAGACACAGAUAACACCCAUGUUGUAAAGAGGAGAGAGGACAUAUGCCAGUCCUGAAAUCUGUAAGACAAAAGGACAGGGAGUCAGCGACGCCCAUUUGAAAGCUGCAAAGAGUCAGAAGAAAAAGGCAAAUAACAAUAAUCUUCACAUUUUCUUCAAACGAAAGUGUGCUGCUGAUAUCUGUCUUAAUUGGAUUGUUUGACCCUGGAAGCAGGCGUGGGUCCUUCAUCUUAAAGAUCAGACCUCCAGUUUGAUGCAAACCACUGCUUGAUUAGGGUAAAUUGGACCCUCGCAAUCAGAGAGAGGCUGAGAAACAAUCUAAACCAUUCUAAAGGCUAACAAAACCAACACCACAUGCACAUGUCAGAAUUUCAGUGCCUACCUCAGACUAAAGGCCUGAUGUUACCCGGCAGUCUCAUACCCUGGAAGAUGGAAUCCCAGGUGAAGGUGGAGCUGAAGCAGAAAAGAUGAUCUGGCCUUUGUGCAGCAGGUGGAAAGGCUCUUAACCCACAGCUGUGCUCACUGUCUGCUGAUGUUGUGUACCUGUGCUAGAUGGAAGCACGUUGUUACUAUUGUCUGGAUUACACGUGCCUAUAUACUUACUCCAGCCAGCCUGAAUUUAAAAAUGAAAAGCCGGGAAUGAUGUUUGUAUCCCUUGGUGCUGCUUCAUCCUCCUGGUUCUUAUGGAAUGACAGCGGCUUUCCAUCAUAUGGCUGGAAUAACUUCUCUGAUGGCUGCAUGAAAGGAAGAUGUCUCAGAUCCUUAUCCAGCCAAUGAGGUAUGUAAGGCUCAUAUUCGAUGAUGGAUUCAAUGAGCUCCUCUGUGUCUCUGUGGAUAAAGGGGAGCUUGCCAGUGGCCAUUUCAUAGAUGGUGAUGCCCAAUGACCACCAGUCCACCGCUGCAUCGUAUUCUUUUCCAUCUAGAAUCUUGAAAAGAAGAGAAAACGGUACCUUCUGAGUAUGUCUACUGGGAUAAUAUUGGCAACAGAGAUCAACGGAUUCAGCUGCUCAUUGAGUGAAUGGAGUGCAAUCAGACCUCCAGUUUGAUGCAAACCACUGCUUGAUUAGGGUAAAUUGGACCCUCGCAAUCAGAGAGAUGCUGAGAAACAAUCUAAACCAUUCUAAAGGCUACCAAAACCAACACCACAUGCACAUGUCAGAAUUUCAGUGCCUACCUCAGAAUAAAGGCCUGAUGUUACCCGGCAGUCUCAUACCCUGGAAGAUGGAAUCCCAGGUGAAGGUGGAGCUGAAGCAGAAAAGAUGAUCUGGCCUUUGUGCAGCAGGUGGAAAGGCUCUUAACCCACAGCUGUGCUCACUGUCUGCUGAUGUUGUGUACCUGUGCUAGAUGGAAGCACGUUGUUACUAUUGUCUGGAUUACACGUGCCUAUAUACUUACUCCAGCCAGCCUGAAUUUAAAAAUGAAAAGCCUGGAAUGAUGUUUGUAUCCCUUGGUGCUGCUUCAUCCUCCUGGUUCUUAUGGAAUGACAGCGGCUUUCCAUCAUAUGGCUGGAAUAACUUCUCUGAUGGCUGCAUGAAAGGAAGAUGUCUCAGAUCCUUAUCCAGCCAAUGAGGUAUGUAAGGCUCAUAUUCGAUGAUGGAUUCAAUGAGCUCCUCUGUGUCUCUGUGGAUAAAGGGGAGCUUGCCAGUGGCCAUUUCAUAGAUGGUGAUGCCCAAUGACCACCAGUCCACCGCUGCAUCGUAUUCUUUUCCAUCUAGAAUCUUGAAAAGAAGAGAAACGGUACCUUCUAAGUAUGUCUACUGGGAUAAUAUUGGCAACAGAGAUCAACGGAUUCAGCUGCUCAUUGAGUGAAUGGAGUGCAAUCAGACCUCCAGUUUGAUGCAAACCACUGCUUGAUUAGGGUAAAUUGGACCCUCGCAAUCAGAGAGAUGCUGAGAAACAAUCUAAACCAUUCUAAAGGCUAACAAAACCAACACCACAUGCACAUGUCAGAAUUUCAGUGCCUACCUCAGACUAAAGGCCUGAUGUUACCCGGCAGUCUCAUACCCUGGAAGAUGGAAUCCCAGGUGAAGGUGGAGCUGAAGCAGAAAAGAUGAUCUGGCCUUUGUGCAGCAGGUGGAAAGGCUCUUAACCCACAGCUGUGCUCACUGUCUGCUGAUGUUGUGUACCUGUGCUAGAUGGAAGCACGUUGUUACUAUUGUCUGGAUUACACGUGCCUAUAUACUUACUCCAGCCAGCCUGAAUUUAAAAAUGAAAAGCCGGGAAUGAUGUUUGUAUCCCUUGGUGCUGCUUCAUCCUCCUGGUUCUUAUGGAAUGACAGCGGCUUUCCAUCAUAUGGCUGGAAUAACUUCUCUGAUGGCUGCAUGAAAGGAAGAUGUCUCAGAUCCUUAUCCAGCCAAUGAGGUAUGUAAGGCUCAUAUUCGAUGAUGGAUUCAAUGAGCUCCUCUGUGUCUCUGUGGAUAAAGGGGAGCUUGCCAGUGGCCAUUUCAUAGAUGGUGAUGCCCAAUGACCACCAGUCCACCGCUGCAUCGUAUUCUUUUCCAUCUAGAAUCUUGAAAAGAAGAGAAAACGGUACCUUCUGAGUAUGUUUACUGGGAUAAUAUUGGCAACAGAGAUCAAUGGAUUCAGCUGCUCAUUGAGUGAAUGGAGUGCAAUCAGACCUCCAGUUUGAUGCAAACCACUGCUUGAUUAGGGUAAAUUGGACCCUCGCAAUCAGAGAGAUGCUGAGAAACAAUCUAAACCAUUCUAAAGGCUAACAAAACCAACACCACAUGCACAUGUCAGAAUUUCAGUGCCUACCUCAGACUAAAGGCCUGAUGUUACCCGGCAGUCUCAUACCCUGGAAGAUGGAAUCCCAGGUGAAGGUGGAGCUGAAGCAGAAAAGAUGAUCUGGCCUUUGUGCAGCAGGUGGAAAGGCUCUUAACCCACAGCUGUGCUCACUGUCUGCUGAUGUUGUGUACCUGUGCUAGAUGGAAGCACGUUGUUACUAUUGUCUGGAUUACACGUGCCUAUAUACUUACUCCAGCCAGCCUGAAUUUAAAAAUGAAAAGCCGGGAAUGAUGUUUGUAUCCCUUGGUGCUGCUUCAUCCUCCUGGUUCUUAUGGAAUGACAGCGGCUUUCCAUCAUAUGGCUGGAAUAACUUCUCUGAUGGCUGCAUGAAAGGAAGAUGUCUCAGAUCCUUAUCCAGCCAAUGAGGUAUGUAAGGCUCAUAUUCGAUGAUGGAUUCAAUGAGCUCCUCUGUGUCUCUGUGGAUAAAGGGGAGCUUGCCAGUGGCCAUUUCAUAGAUGGUGAUGCCCAAUGACCACCAGUCCACUGCUGCAUCGUAUUCUUUUCCAUCUAGAAUCUUGAAAAGAAGAGAAAACGGUACCUUCUAAGUAUGUCUACUGGGAUAAUAUUGGCAACAGAGAUCAACGGAUUCAGCUGCUCAUUGAGUGAAUGGAGUGCAAUCAGACCUCCAGUUUGAUGCAAACCACUGCUUGAUUAGGGUAAAUUGGACCCUCGCAAUCAGAGAGAGGCUGAGAAACAAUCUAAACCAUUCUAAAGGCUAACAAAACCAACACCACAUGCACAUGUCAGAAUUUCAGUGCCUACCUCAGACUAAAGGCCUGAUGUUACCCGGCAGUCUCAUACCCUGGAAGAUGGAAUCCCAGGUGAAGGUGGAGCUGAAGCAGAAAAGAUGAUCUGGCCUUUGUGCAGCAGGUGGAAAGGCUCUUAACCCACAGCUGUGCUCACUGUCUGCUGAUGUUGUGUACCUGUGCUAGAUGGAAGCACGUUGUUACUAUUGUCUGGAUUACACGUGCCUAUAUACUUACUCCAGCCAGCCUGAAUUUAAAAAUGAAAAGCCGGGAAUGAUGUUUGUAUCCCUUGGUGCUGCUUCAUCCUCCUGGUUCUUAUGGAAUGACAGCGGCUUUCCAUCAUAUGGCUGGAAUAACUUCUCUGAUGGCUGCAUGAAAGGAAGAUGUCUCAGAUCCUUAUCCAGCCAAUGAGGUAUGUAAGGCUCAUAUUCGAUGAUGGAUUCAAUGAGCUCCUCUGUGUCUCUGUGGAUAAAGGGGAGCUUGCCAGUGGCCAUUUCAUAGAUGGUGAUGCCCAAUGACCACCAGUCCACCGCUGCAUCGUAUUUUUUUCCAUCUAGAAUCUUGAAAAGAAGAGAAAACGGUACCUUCUGAGUAUGUCUACUGGGAUAAUAUUGGCAACAGAGAUCAACGGAUUCAGCUGCUCAUUGAGUGAAUGGAGUGCAGUGAGUAAUGCAUGUGACCAGUUGGUUUCUCUCGCUUGGAUCAGAACUGUAACAUUUGCUAGUUCCUUUUUAAAGCUGUAUUGGUAGAAACCUGUAAUAGAACAUCUAUUGCUAAAUAUGGUUAAUGCUUGGCACAACAUGGCUGGCACUAGAGCUAUGUGUAAAGCUGAGCAAGUAAUGGAAACAUGUAUGAUGUGAAGUAAAGUGAUGCAGUUAA